CCUACACAGAAGGAGGCAUAAGCACCUCAAACGACAGACGACUGUCAGACCCUCAAUCACUCCCACACGUGGUGGCAGAGAGAUGCAGGCCUGCAUACAAGCCUAGGGCUAGAGGGACAGGCUCACUCUCGCCUGCACCGUGGAAGACCGCAGAGACCCACUGGUGAACUCCAACCGCCCCCUGAGAGAGGGCAUCGGAUGAAAGUGACAAUACCCAAGGGCUCCAGAACGCGUUGCAUAACUGACAUGUCAC
This is a non-coding RNA of Pelobates cultripes (western spadefoot toad), 253 nucleotides long. The record is from the annotation of a GenBank genome assembly. Lineage: Eukaryota; Metazoa; Chordata; Amphibia; Anura; Pelobatidae.